Molecule: transfer RNA, 73 nt
Filed under: Candidatus Rifleibacteriota bacterium
Lineage: Bacteria; Candidatus Rifleibacteriota
Description: tRNA-Phe
Rfam family: tRNA
About the family: Transfer RNA (tRNA) molecules are approximately 80 nucleotides in length. Their secondary structure includes four short double-helical elements and three loops (D, anti-codon, and T loops).
Source: RNAcentral
GGCCAGAUAGCUCAGCCGGUAGAGCAGCGGACUGAAAAUCCGUGUGUCGUUGGUUCAAUUCCGACUCUGGCCA